Molecule: ribosomal RNA, 253 nt
Filed under: uncultured bacterium
Lineage: Bacteria
Description: partial 16S ribosomal RNA
Rfam family: Bacterial small subunit ribosomal RNA
Source: RNAcentral
UACGUAGGGUGCGAGCGUUAAUCGGAAUUACUGGGCGUAAAGCGUGCGCAGGCGGUUUUGUAAGCCAGAUGUGAAAGCCCCGGGCUCAACCUGGGAAUGGCAUUUGGGACUGCAAGGCUGGAGUGCGGCAGAGGAGACUGGAAUUCCUGGUGUAGCAGUGAAAUGCGUAGAUAUCAGGAGGAAUACCGAUGGCGAAGGCAGGUCUCUGGGCUGACACUGACGCUCAUGCACGAAAGCGUGGGGAGCAAACAGG